RNAcentral lists this small RNA (1178 nucleotides) under Pongo abelii (Sumatran orangutan). RNAcentral describes it as "retained intron". The record is from RNAcentral. Lineage: Eukaryota; Metazoa; Chordata; Mammalia; Primates; Hominidae.
AGGGGAGAUGGGCCCUGGGGGCAAGCGAGGUUUCAGGGUCACUUGGGGUGUGCAGAGCCAAGUUGUGACCCUAGUGCCAUGUGACUUGGCAGAAGCCCUGCCUGUUCCCACAUCUGUAAAGUUAGGCAUUUGGGGUGCUCCAUCGUGAGCCUCCUUCCUGUUCUAACAUUCAGUGUGGGUUUGAGGCCCGUGGGCAUGGAGCUGUCCGUCACCCUUGUCAGUCGGGCACCUCGUCCUGGGCUCCCAGGUGGAGGUCUCUGGAAGCCCUUGCUGAGCUGGGCUGGAGCUCCUUUGCCCUGACCUUGCUGUUGCCGUUGACCUCCUUCAUGGGAGCAUCUGGUCUUGACCUGGGGCAGCCACCAGCACGCGAGGCUCCUGUCUUGGAGGCAGGGGGCACACUGGUGUGUGGGAGCUGGCUUAGGGCCCUGCUUCGCAGUUGGACCACCUUGGGCAGGUUGCCCAGCUCCCAAGGGCUCACGUUCUUCCUCCUGCCCCUUUUGCACAGUUUUCCGACAGCUCAACACGGCCAUCGCCGUAUCCCAGAUGUCCUCAGGCCAGUGCCGCCUGGCCCCGCUCAUCCAGGUCAUCCAGGACUGCAGCCACCUCUACCACUACACGGUCAAGCUCCUGUUCAAGCUACACUCUUGUCUCCCUGCGGACACCCUGCAAGGCCACAGGGACCGGUUCCACGAGCAGUUUCACAGCCUCAGGAACUUCUUCCGCAGAGCCUCUGACAUGCUGUAUUUCAAGCGGCUCAUCCAGAUCCCCCGGCUGCCCGAGGGACCCCCUAACUUCCUGCGGGCCUCAGCCCUGGCUGAGCACAUCAAGCCGGUGGUGGUGAUCCCCGAGGAGGCCCCGGAGGACGAGGAACCGGAGAAUCUCAUUGAGAUCAGCACGGGGCCCCCCGCGGGGGAGCCAGUGGUGGUGGCUGACCUGUUCGAUCAGACGUUUGGACCCCCCAAUGGCUCUGUGAAGGAUGACAGGGACCUCCAGAUUGAGAGCUUGAAGAGAGAGGUGGAAAUGCUCCGCUCUGAGCUGGAGAAGAUCAAGCUGGAGGCCCAGCGGUACAUCUCGCAGCUGAAGAGUCAGGUGAAUGCACUGGAGGGUGAGCUGGAGGAGCAGCGGAAGCAGAAGCAGAAGGCCCUGGUGGAUAAUGAGCAGCUCCGCCACGAGCUGGC